This 497-nucleotide ribosomal RNA is filed under the name uncultured bacterium. RNAcentral describes it as "partial 16S ribosomal RNA". It matches the Rfam family "Bacterial small subunit ribosomal RNA", at positions 28 to 507 of the family's 1533-position model. The record is from RNAcentral.
GAUGAACGCUGGCGGCGUGCCUAAUACAUGCAAGUCGAGCGAACGGACGAGAAGCUUGCUUCUCUGAUGUUAGCGGCGGACGGGUGAGUAACACGUGGAUAACCUACCUAUAAGACUGGGAUAACUUCGGGAAACCGGAGCUAAUACCGGAUGAUAUUUUGAACCGCAUGGUUCAAAAGUGAAAGACGGUCUUGCUGUCACUUAUAGAUGGAUCCGCGCUGCAUUAGCUAGUUGGUAAGGUAACGGCUUACCAAGGCAACGAUGCAUAGCCGACCUGAGAGGGUGAUCGGCCACACUGGAACUGAGACACGGUCCAGACUCCUACGGGAGGCAGCAGUAGGGAAUCUUCCGCAAUGGGCGAAAGCCUGACGGAGCAAUGCCGCGUGAGUGAUGAAGGUCUUCGGAUCGUAAAACUCUGUUAUUAGGGAAGAACAUAUGUGUAAGUAACUGUGCACAUCUUGACGGUACCUAAUCAGAAAGCCAGGGCUAACUACGUG